AGCAGUUCAGGAUGCCAGACAUGAGUUCUGUGAUGGGGAAACCAGAGAUUUCGGCCGCAGCUGCUGGAGCUCAGGACGAAGAAGAGGAAGAGGUGGAUGAAACCGGGGUGGAACCUAGGGACAUUGAUUUGGUCAUGACGCAGGCUGGGGUAUCGAGGAGCAAGGCCGUCAAGGCACUCAAGACUCACAGCGGGGACAUUGUCAGCGCUAUCAUGGAGCUCACCACUUAACUGGCCAAAAUCGUAGUUUUCCUCAAGCUCAUUGUUUCCCUAAUGAGUGUUUCGAAUCAGUGUCGUGUCGGUCAUUGGGAUUUUUAGCUCAAUCGGAAGCCCGUCUAUGUGGAUCUGGAUUAUGCUUCUCUUUUUCUUUUGUGGACUCAAAACAUUGGCUGUGAUCGCCGUCAGGUUUUCUGAUGUACUUCACUCCCGAGUCAUGAGUUAUUAAAGGUUUCUAUUGUCAUUUUUAAUUCUUUCACAUGAGAGUUGUCUGCUUCAUGGAUAAGGACGUAGGAUUGCCACUAGUACUAAUGAUAUUUUUCUCUACCUGUAAGCGAGAUGUUUUAGCUUUGAUAACGAGUUUAUAACUAGUCGAUUCAAAUUAUAGUGUCUAUAGGGUUAUUUGUCGUUUAGCGUGGUUAUGUUGUCAUUUGGUGUUACAGUUUAAUAAGGGGUCUUAGGUUUGACUUUCAAAGAUGAACUCUUGCCAAAAGGAAAGCGUUUUUUGACAUUCAUUCUCUCUGUGUACACUUUUGUUUGCUUAUGACUUUCGGUUUAGUUAAAUCAAAGGAGAAUCAAUAUGAUGUUCAAUUAAGUUAAAUUAAAGAAGAACUAAUAAACAAAAACAAGCAGUGAAGAACGGAGUUAGAAACCAGAGCGUGUGCGAAAAUCGUUUUCCUAUAAGAAAAUAACGCAGGUGAUUUAAUGAUUGGGCUUGGUGGUGCCGCCAAAAACUAGCGGCCCAUUCCGAAACCGAAACCCUUUGCCCUCGCGAAUCAUCACGUCUCGGUCUCUAUACACCGCUGCGCCUGCGUGGUGGUAGCCGAAUUGCUACUCUUCAGUCUUCAUAUUUAUCAGUUUCAGAGCUUCUAGAUCUCCGCCACCAAACCCGAAACAUGUCACCGGCUCCACUGGUUCAGCCAGAGGCCGGCGCCGCCGUCGAAGAGGUUCUCUCCGCUGAACAGCUCCUCAAGAACUCUAAUCAGGUAAAGCUCCGCCCUUUAUUUAAAGUAUCCAUUUUCUGUUUGGUUCAUAUAUAUGUUUUUUUUAAUUCGGUGCUGCGAAUGUUGUCAGAACAAGGAAGAAGAGGAAGUCGUGGUCGAGGACGUCAAGGACGACGACAAUGACGACGACGACGAGGAGGAUGACGACGACGAAGACAAGGAAGACGGCGGUCAAGGUUUGUUCUUUUUUUGUUGUUGUUCUUAUCCUUUCGAUAACUUGUAGUUUUGGAUUUGUCAUGAAUGUCUUUGCGCUUUUUAAAGGCAUGUUUGAUUGGUAGGAGCAUAAAGACGGUGAAAAUAUUAGAUUUUUGCAUAAGCUAUGAAAAUAAUGAGAGCGGUUGGCACAACAAAAAGGUUGCUUCUUUGUGACUGAAAUGUCAUGGGUCGUGGAAACAACCUCUUUUCAAAGCGGAGUCUUGUUGGCUUGGGGUUGCCUUAUGGAAAUAAUGAGGGCAAAUCACGUAGCUUGUUUGAUUUUGAUGUUAAUUUUGAAAUGUUUUGGAUGGAACCCAAAAGUCGAAUCGUAGUUCUGUUUGUUCUAAACUAUAAAGAUUCAAACUUUUUCAUUCAUUUAUACAGUACUUUUGCCGCUUAAUCACAAUGAAUAUGUAUUAUAUCCUGUGUUGUCCUUCGAGUGAUGUUAAUUCGACGUAACAGAUGGAAAUGAGUCAUCGAAACAGAGCAGAAGCGAGAAGAAGAGUCGGAAGGCAAUGCUGAAGCUGGGUAUGAAGCCUGUUACUGGUGUUAGCAGGGUGACAAUCAAGAAGACCAAAAACGUAAGUUGAUGUUUGAUUUCCGGUUCGUGAAAUUGAGAUAUGGUUAUGUGAUGGUCGAUGUUCAUUGGUUGUUCUUUUUUAUGUAUUUCAGAUAAUAUUUGUCAUAUCGAAACCUGAUGCCUUCAAGAGUCCAAACUCUGAUACCUAUGUCAUAUUUGGCGAGGCCAAGAUCGAGGAUUUGAGCUCUCAGCUGCAGACACAGGCUGCCCAGCAGUUCAGGAUGCCGGACAUGAGUUCUGUGAUGGGAAAACCAGAGAUUUCUGGAGCAGCUGCUGGACCUCAGGCAGAUGAAGAAGAGGAAGAGGUUGAUGAAACCGGGGUGGAACCUAAGGACAUUGAUUUGGUCAUGACACAAGCUGGGGUGUCAAGGAGCAAGGCCGUCAAGGCUCUCAAGACACACAGCGGGGACAUUGUCAGCGCUAUCAUGGAACUCACCACUUAAUUGUUUUCCUCGCGCUCAUUGUCAGUUGAU
This 2467-nucleotide long non-coding RNA is filed under the name Malus domestica (apple). RNAcentral describes it as "long non-coding RNA (MDOM_LNC007189)". Lineage: Eukaryota; Viridiplantae; Streptophyta; Magnoliopsida; Rosales; Rosaceae. The record is from RNAcentral.